Long non-coding RNA from Peromyscus eremicus (cactus mouse), 2166 nucleotides. RefSeq lists it as uncharacterized. The transcript is spliced from 2 exons. Lineage: Eukaryota; Metazoa; Chordata; Mammalia; Rodentia; Cricetidae. The record is from RefSeq and is a predicted model, not a curated record.
CAGCAGUGUCGUUUGGCAACAGGGAAAGAAGUGGGGGCGGGGUACCUCAUUAUGUAAGCUGCAGGAUUGGCAAAGGGGGCAAGCCUUCCUGAGUGGAGUGUCCCAGGGGUGGCUUCCAUAUUGUGGAUCUUCCUAGGUAGGCCUCCUUGAGUCCUGGUCCCAAGCCACCUCUCACUCUUAGCCACGGCCUAGAGUGACAUUCAUGUGCCCUUCACGUACUACCAGCACUUGGCUGUGUUAUACUUCAGGACAGAGAAGUUGGGCAUUCAGAAUGCCUGGCAGCAGCGCUACAGUGGGUUGGCAUAGGGGCUGGUCCUGAUAAGCCAUGGGACCAGACACAGGCCCCUCCCCAGAGCAGUGGCCCCAGCCUGGGUGGGAGUACCGCCCGGGUUCACAUCUCAUCACUUGCUCACUCACAGAGAAAGAAACUUUGUUUCUCAAUGUGUCUUCUUAGGACUUCCAGAGUCUGGAGCAGGGGGCCCAGACUCCACAAACCCUACCCCAUCUUUGUCCCUGCCCAUCUGUGCUCAAGACCUUCCUUGCCUGCCCUCAGUCCACACCCCAUAGAUGUUUCCUGAAGGUGCACAGAAGAUGCAUUGGCUGGCACCCCAGCUAGGGUGCCCUGCUGCCUACAUCAGGGACCCUUUAAAAGGUGGGAGCUGGCAUCCCACACCAGACUGGUCACAUAAACCCAGAGUCACCCUACAGACUGCAAACCAGGAUGGAAGUCCCAGAGGACAGACACCCUUUGACUGUCUAGGCCAGGUGAGAGGAGAGAAUGUCCAGGUUAGCACAGGCAGGAGACUAUCAUUAGCUGAGGUGGAGGACUAAGGGAAGAGGCAAAGGUGUGCAUGAGACCUGCUUUCUCAACAGAUCGGUAUACUGGUGCGCUGGCAUAGGUGAGUACCCUUGGAGAUCCCUCCCAAAGCCCCACCCCAACCUCAACUGCAACAGGGGUGGUCUCUGGUAUGGAGAAGGCAGGGAAGCCUGGUCACCACAGCUCCAAGCAGUUCCCCUAACCCACUACACCCUCACCCCCACUUUAGCAAUGCUUGGGGACUGGCUACACCUGCUCCUUGUUUUGCAGUGACGGAUCCAGACAUCCAGAGCCCAGUUGGGAUUGUGCUGCCUAUGUGCUGGAUCUUCACCCGAAGAGCUCCUGGUUUCUCUGUACAGCUCCCCAAGCUGACAGAAGCAGUAUUUGACAGGGAAAGGCAGAGAGUGGGUGGUAGGUGUCAGGGACUCCAACCACAUGAGCUGAGUCCCUCAGGACAGUACCUGCAGGGCUGGGUGCAGUUAUGCACCCUGGGUGCUGGGUAAGGGCGGGACCUUGGUUCUGCAGGAGGAAGACCCAAAUGUGCCUGAGGGUCCUUCUUGGAUCCUGUAGACCCCAGCAGCCCAUUUGAGAGUAAAGUGCUGCUGGCUUAGCUGCCCAGAAGCUCCUGGCUUGGGACAGCAAUUACACGUGGCAAGCCAUACCCCACCCUGCCCUGUGUGUGCCCUGGGCCCUGGGAGCCACUGCAGACAGGUUCAGCCUGCAAGUAUCUCAAAAUAUAAGGCCGUUGAGAUGUCUCAGAAGGUAAAGGUACUUGCUGCUAAGUCUUAUGACCUGAGUUUGAUUCCUGGGACCCAAGGGUGGAGGAAGAAAGCCAAGUCAUACAAGUUGCUCUCUGGCCUCCACAUUUGCUCCGUGGCACACACUCAAAUCCAUAAUGUAAAAAAUAAUAAUAAGGGCAAUGAUUGAGGAAGACAGCAAAUAUUGACCUCUGACCUCGGCUUGCAUGUGUGCGCAUGUGCACUUUCACAUACAUGUGCACACUUGAAUAUGUACAACACACACAAAAAGGUAAGAGUACUACUGCUGUGUUUGCACAGGACAGUGUAGUCUUGCUCAUUUAAUCUUGUGUGUGUGUGUGUGCGUGCGUGUGUGUGUGUGUGUGUGUGUAUAUAUGUGUAUGUGUGCUGGGGCCCUGCUGUCUAUCCCAGCCGACCAGGUCCCUGAGAUCCUUUGGCUUCAGCCUUCCUAACUGGCUUUACAAGUGUGUUCCACUGUGCCCAGCAGCACCAUUGUCUUGAAAAGACAAGACUGUCCUGAAAUUUUUGAGAGUAAAGUUCAAUGUUGUCUGUAAUGUAACUUUAAUAAAAUUAAAUUAAAUUUAAAAAAUA